This 3244-nucleotide long non-coding RNA is filed under the name Oryzias javanicus (javanese ricefish). RNAcentral describes it as "lncRNA (ENSOJAG00000020708.1)". The record is from RNAcentral. Lineage: Eukaryota; Metazoa; Chordata; Actinopteri; Beloniformes; Adrianichthyidae.
GCUGCAGAUAAAGGUAAGGAGAUUUCUGCUUUAACUUUAUUGCAUUUCUUUGAGCCAAACAUUUUCACAAACGAUUCUUGUCUCUUAUUUUUCAGCAAACUCCACCCAAGUUUUCUACACAAAAAUGACAAUCGACAAAAAUGCACUGCAGCUCAUCCUGCGAGAGCUGAGCGCGUUCAGGGACAACAAUGGGAGCAGGAUCAUCACCGACGUCCACAUGACCACAAGUACAGACGUGUCCCGUCCCUGAACGUCUGCUCUGAACUGGGACGUCCCAACAUUUCCUGUUUCUGUUUAAAGGCUGCACCAAGGCAGAGAAGAGCCAGACCUGUGUCUGCAGCGACGGCAACAAAUGGAGCGAUCAAGUCCUCCAGGAACACCAGGCCAGCUGUAACCAGACUGUGUGCACGCUCCCGCUGGACUCUCACCUCACCUGCAUUUCAAACACAACAGUGAAAAUCUCCGGAUCCAUCACUUUAUCGGAUAAUUCAUCAAAUUCUUUCAAGAACUGUCUGCUGCCGAAGGACUCGUCUGCUUACAGCGACUGCAAAGUCAAACUGGAGUCGGCUUUGAAGGCGGUCUACAGCACUCUGAACGGCCUGGACACCUUCACCAUCGUCGCCAUCAGGUCGGUCCUUCAGAGGAGUGGAAGAGCUGUUUUCAGCUCAUCUCACAGGAAAAGCCGUUUGUGUUUCCCUGCAGGGUGGGAAGCAUCAUCGUGGACUUUACCUUGACCGUCGUCAACCCCAUCACUGCACAGGACCUGCUGAGUAGAUCCAAACAAGUCAACAUUUCAGACUCCAUGGAUCUGGAGACCACAGGGAUGGUCACCGUCACUGUGCCCGACCGCAUGGUGCCUUACGGGGGCAACGACACGGUCAUCUGCACCACAGUGGAGGAUUUAAGGCUGGAUCCGACGUGGACGCUGAGAAGAGAUGGUUUGAACUUCAGCAUCUUUAACGGAACAGUCUCCACUCUUACAAACACGUCAUCAACGGAAUUCCACGUCAAUCUGAAAGGAGUGGACAAGCACUGGACAGGUUGGACUUCUGACCUGCAUUCUUCCUUCCUCCUACCUCUCACGUGUUCAGCAUCGCAGUGUUUGUUUUCAGGAGAAUACGACUGCAGCUUCAGAGACACCUCGUCCAAAAUCACCGUGACGCACAGAGCCAACGCCACCAUAGACAUCUGCCUGAAGCCAGAGAUCCUCAGCUCUGCGGAGCCGGCGUUCCCUCACUGCACGACCAAGAACCAACUCCUGUUCGUGCUGGUCAAAUGCCAGAUCACGAAAAGCAGCGAGCAAUACAACGUGACAUGGCCGACAGAUUACUUGCUGAACUCUCCAUCUAACGAUUCGGACACGCUGACGUAUUCAGCCCAAUUGCUAAUAGACUGCACCGCCACCGGGGACCCUACAGCCACUUGUAACUUCAUGAACAGAUGUCAGCAAAACCAGAGCAGUACAUUCAUUAUUAAUGUCAUUAAAGGUAAGUAUGGAGGUCACUCUGAGCCCACGCAAUCCCCGGGGUCACGAUCCCAGUCAGGAUUCCGUCCAACACCCAUUCCUCAUGGAGAUUCACUUCAAAACCCAAAGUUUUGUUCGGCUAUGAAACAGUUUUUACUGAGAGACCAAAAUCUGACCAAAGGUGAAUUAUGAUGCUCAUUGUAAACAGACCUUUUCUACUUAAAGGGCUCGAGAAAUGGAGCUAAAGGAAAAUAGAUCCAUGGAUUUCUAUCACUGUGUUACAAUCAUGACCAUCACAAUAAUCCCAAUAGAAAAGGCCAGAAAAUCCCAAAGCACAUGAAAGCAUGGGCAGUCAUAGGUGAGAGGGAGCCCAACCGCAGGAAGGAAAGGUCAAAAACGUCCCAAAGUGUCUGUAAAAAGUCUCCAAAGAACGAAACUGGAAAAUACAAUCCAGAACAUAAAGACACUACAGAACCAAGGACGGGGAGGGGUCCAGAUACCUGUCCUUACAGGUGGAUACAGGUGUCUGCUGUUGAAAAAUGCUACCGAAUGGUACCCUUACCUGGACGGUGUGUCCCUCAGAAAAUAUGAAGAUUGUAGUUGCUCAGUGAGCUGUAGAGAAAAAAAACAUAGAAAUACAGAGACAUAUAUCUCAAUGUACAGAAAUAUAAAGAGAUAUAUAGAAAAACACAUACAAAGAAACGUACAGAAAUCAAAAGAAAUACACAGAAAUAUAAAUAACUUCAUAACAGGAGGAUUUAGAACUUGAUCCUGGAUUCAACUGGAUCCAGUGGAGUGAAGCUAACACAGGAGUGAUGUGUUCUCUUCUGCUAGUUCCUGCUAACAAUCUGGCUGCUGCAUUCUGAACAAGAUGAAAACUUUUUAAAGAACUUUUAGAGCAGGCUAUUAGUAAAGAGUUACAGUAAUCCAGUCUAGACGUAACAAAUGCAUGGAUGAGUUUUUCAGCAUCACUUUUAGAUAACAUAUUUCUGAUCCGAGCUAUAUUGCGAAGGUGAAAAAAUGCAGUUCUACAAGCUUGUGAUAUGUGAGCCUUAAAUGAUAAAUCCUGGUCGAAUAAAACCCCCAAGUUUCUGACUGUAGAAUUGGAGGAAAUAUUUACACCAUCCAAGGAGACUAUCUGAUCCGAGAGAUCAUCUCUCAGGUGUUUAGGACCCAGGAUAAUGACCUCAGUUUUUUUCUGGGUUAAGGAGGAGGUCAUUAAUUGUCAUCCAGGACUUAAUGUCUCUAAUACAGGAAUUCAGUUUCUCUAGGUGGUCAUUCUGGUCUGGUUUAAUGGAUAAAUACAGCUGCGUAUCAUCUGCAUAACAGUGGAAAUUAAUGCUAUGUUUCCUAAUUAUGUUUCCUAAGGGCAACAUAUAAAGCACGAACAGGAUGGGCCCAAGAACUGAGCCCUGAGGAACUCCGUAAUAAUAAUAAUAAUGGAUUAGAUUUAUCUGCGCUUUUCCAGACGCUCAAAGCGCUUACAAUAAAAACCCAUUAUUCAUUCACACCUCAUCCAUACUUGGUGAUGGUAAGCUACUACUGUAGCCACAGCUGCCUUGGGGCAGGCUGACAGAGGCGUGGCUGCCAGUUCGCGCCAACGGCCCUUCUGACCAUCACCGGGACGUUCACACACAUUCACACGCCAGUGGAGCCACACUGGAGGCAAGUAGGGUUAAGUGUCUUGCCCAAGGACACAACGACUUUUUGGCCGACAGGAGCAAGGAUCGAACCGCCUAUCCUUCGAUCAUUGGCCGACCUGCUCUACCACCUGAGCUU